CCCUUAGAUGUUCUGGGCGGCCCGCGCACUACAAUGGCGUGUGCAGCGAGUGCCGAAGUAGAGUUUUCCGAGGUAUUCUUGCAAUGCUCGUUUUGAUGGGGAUAGACCCUUGCAACUGUUGGUUUUGAACGAGGAAUUCCUUGUAAGCAUGGUUUAUCAUCCGACGCUGAAUGCGUCCCUGCCCUUUGUACACACCGCCCGUCGCUCCUACCGAUGAGUCGUCCGGUGAAGUUCGUAGACCUCGUGAUCGCGGAUCACUGGGGGAAGCAAAAUGAACCUGGCGGUUUAGAGGAAGGAGAAGUCGUAACA
Molecule: ribosomal RNA, 309 nt
Filed under: uncultured eukaryote
Lineage: Eukaryota
Description: partial 18S ribosomal RNA
Rfam family: Eukaryotic small subunit ribosomal RNA
Source: RNAcentral